GACCGGUGUUAUUCUGGCCAAUGCUGGGAUUGAUAUUGCAUUACAUGACACUUAUUACGUGGUUGCGCAUUUUCAUUAUGUGCUCUCUAUGGGUGCGGUCUUUGCUCUUUUUGCGGGUUUUUACUACUGGAUUGGUAAAAUUUCUGGUUACCAGUACCCAGAAGUUCUUGGCCAAAUUCAUUUUUGGUUAUUUUUUAUUGGGGUCAAUAUCACUUUUUUCCCUAUGCAUUUUCUAGGACUCGCUGGUAUGCCUCGACGUAUCCCAGAUUAUCCUGACGCGUUUGCAGGGUGGAAUUUGAUCUGUAGUUAUGGUUCUUAUUUAUCAAUUUUAGCCAGCCUCUUCUUUUUCUAUGUUGUUUACGCAACAUUAACACAAGGUGAAAAGUGUGGUAUUAACCCAUGGGCAGUGGAAGGUGAAUCAACAACGUCAACUUUAGAGUGGACGGUGGCGUCUCCUCCGGCUUUCCAUACUUUUGAAGAAAUUCCGGCGAUUAAGGAGCCUUCUUCACACCCUGUUUUACGUUAAUUAAUUCAGUUUUGGAAGAGCAAGGGGUCGAAAAAAUCGACCCCUUUUUUUACUCUAAAUCCUUUUUUGUCCAAAUUUCAGAAAGUGAGCUAACGCAUGAAAUCAGCCGCCUGGGGACUACGGCCGCAAGGCUAAAACCCAAAGGAAUUGACGGGGGCUUACACAAGCGGUGGAGCAUGUGGUUUAAUUCGAAACAACGCGCAAAACCUUACCAAUCCUUGACAUAUGAAAAACCAGGGUGUUUACCCGCUCUGUCUCUUUUAUACAGGUGCUGCAUGGCUGUCGUCAGUUCGUGGUGUGAGCUGUUGGGUUAAGUCCCAGAACGAACGCAACCCUCCUUUGAAAUGAAGGUUUACCUUUUUCAAAGACUGCCAAGGAUAUCUUGGAGGAAGGUGAGGAUGACGUCAAGUCCGCAUGGCCCUUAUGGGUUGGGCUACACACGUGCUACAAUGGGAAUGACAAAAGGAGGCAACAUGGCAACAUUGAGCAAAUCCCAAAAAGUUUCCUUAGUUCGGAUUGUUCUCUGCAACUCGAGAACAUGAAGUUGGAAUCGCUAGUAAUCGUAGAUCAGCACGCUACGGUGAAUUUGUAUCUAAGCCUUGUACACACCGCCCGUCACACUCUGAAAAUUUUCAUGCCUUGAAGCAAAAGAAAUUCGCAAUGAACACACAGCCAAAAAACAAAAGACCACACUUUCCUUCUUUUUAUCUGUGUCGUUGUUGGGUUCUUUUCUAGAGUUAGGAAGGUAAUUGGAGUGAAGUCGUAACAAGGUAGCUGUAGGGGAACCUGUAGCUG
Molecule: ribosomal RNA, 1321 nt
Filed under: marine metagenome
Description: bacterial SSU rRNA
Rfam family: Bacterial small subunit ribosomal RNA (bases 638-1321)
Source: RNAcentral